Molecule: ribosomal RNA, 568 nt
Filed under: uncultured bacterium
Lineage: Bacteria
Description: partial 16S ribosomal RNA
Rfam family: Bacterial small subunit ribosomal RNA
Source: RNAcentral
UGGGGAAUAUUGCACAAUGGGCGAAAGCCUGAUGCAGCAACGCCGCGUGAGGGACGACGGCCUUCGGGUUGUAAACCUCUUUUAGCAAGGAAGAAGCGAAAGUGACGGUACUUGCAGAAAAAGCGCCGGCUAACUACGUGCCAGCAGCCGCGGUAAUACGUAGGGCGCAAGCGUUAUCCGGAAUUAUUGGGCGUAAAGAGCUCGUAGGCGGUUUGUCGCGUCUGCUGUGAAAACCCGAGGCUCAACCUCGGGCUUGCAGUGGGUACGGGCAGACUAGAGUGCGGUAGGGGAGAUUGGAACUCCUGGUGUAGCGGUGGAAUGCGCAGAUAUCAGGAAGAACACCGAUGGCGAAGGCAGAUCUCUGGGCCGUAACUGACGCUGAGGAGCGAAAGGGUGGGGAGCAAAACAGGCUUAGAUACCCUGGUAGUCCACCCCGUAAACGUUGGGAACUAGUUGUGGGGUCCAUUCCACGGAUUCCGUGACGCAGCUAACGCAUUAAGUUCCCCGCCUGGGGAGUACGGCCGCAAGGCUAAACUCAAAUGAAUUGACGGGGUCAUAGCUGUUUCCU